GGGUGAGUAAUGCUUAGGAAUCUGCCUAUUAGUGGGGGACAACAUCUCGAAAGGGAUGCUAAUACCGCAUACGUCCUACGGGAGAAAGCAGGGGACCUUCGGGCCUUGCGCUAAUAGAUGAGCCUAAGUCGGAUUAGCUAGUUGGUGGGGUAAAGGCCUACCAAGGCGACGAUCUGUAGCGGGUCUGAGAGGAUGAUCCGCCACACUGGGACUGAGACACGGCCCAGACUCCUACGGGAGGCAGCAGUGGGGAAUAUUGGACAAUGGGGGGAACCCUGAUCCAGCCAUGCCGCGUGUGUGAAGAAGGCCUUUUGGUUGUAAAGCACUUUAAGCGAGGAGGAGGCUACCGAGAUUAAUACUCUUGGAUAGUGGACGUUACUCGCAGAAUAAGCACCGGCUAACUCUGUGCCAGCAGCCGCGGUAAUACAGAGGGUGCAAGCGUUAAUCGGAUUUACUGGGCGUAAAGCGCGCGUAGGUGGCCAAUUAAGUCAAAUGUGAAAUCCCCGAGCUUAACUUGGGAAUUGCAUUCGAUACUGGUUGGCUAGAGUAUGGGAGAGGAUGGUAGAAUUCCAGGUGUAGCGGUGAAAUGCGUAGAGAUCUGGAGGAAUACCGAUGGCGAAGGCAGCCAUCUGGCCUAAUACUGACACUGAGGUGCGAAAGCAUGGGGAGCAAACAGGAUUAGAUACCCUGGUAGUCCAUGCCGUAAACGAUGUCUACUAGCCGUUGGGGCCUUUGAGGCUUUAGUGGCGCAGCUAACGCGAUAAGUAGACCGC
Molecule: ribosomal RNA, 773 nt
Filed under: Acinetobacter sp.
Lineage: Bacteria; Pseudomonadati; Pseudomonadota; Gammaproteobacteria; Moraxellales; Moraxellaceae
Description: bacterial SSU rRNA
Rfam family: Bacterial small subunit ribosomal RNA
Source: RNAcentral